UUUGACAGGGUGUUUAUAAAGGGAAGUAGCUACUAUAAAUGGUCUCAUAAUCUAAUUCAAACAUGCGACAAAUAAAAUUAGGUGUUCAUUAUAAGGAGUUAGGGAAGAAAUGAGAGAAGUUAAUAACAUUCCUUCUGAAAGGGAUGGAUGUUGAGCUAUAUUGAAGUAACAUAAGUCUCAUUGAUGAUCAACAUUGAUUUGAUGAUAAUGAGUGAUGAUAGCAACUUUGCUCAUGGUGCGUCGACUUUAGAGGAAUCCAUCAUGCAUUCACAUCCUUUCAUGUUUCCAAAUCCUCACCCAUAAAUAUUAUUUCUCCCUUUGGUUUGAUCAAGCAUGAAAGUAGAAUCACUUUGUACCAAAAUAAAAAGUUGAAUAAAUCUUCUUAUGUAAACAUACAAAAAUAUUGCUGGUGGCAUACAUAAUCUAAAGUUAUUUAAGUAAAAAUUGAGAUAUUUUUACUUAAGAGAGAUAAAUUCUUGUACGACAUUUUAGUUAAAUUCUUUAAUAAAAAAGUGGUCCAAUAAAGAUAAUUGUGGUCCUCUUACCCUCGUAA
Non-coding RNA from Cicer arietinum (chickpea), 553 nucleotides. NCBI's taxonomy places the organism in Eukaryota, Viridiplantae, Streptophyta, Magnoliopsida, Fabales, Fabaceae. The record is from RefSeq and is a predicted model, not a curated record.